UGAAGGGAAAAAGAGUUCCUCGUUGAAAACUGCCUGGUCCCAAGCAUUCCCACGAGAGAGCCGAUUAGCGACUCGAUCCAAGAGCUCGAUUGAAGGAAUUGUCGGUCUAAUGUAGAAAAAGCCAGAGUUGUAAACCCAUAUCCGCAUUGUAUGGGCAUAUCUAGCCCAACCCAUUGCAGGUUCAUCGAAAACAUCAUUAUAACCAUAAGCUGUCAUAUUAUUGUGGCCAUCACUCAUGGAUUCCACAUCUGAAUCUCUAUAAAGAUAAUGGAAAGGAUUUUGCAAAUACACAAUAUCAACAUCUGAGAGAAGAACACUGUAUCCGAGCUGCAAAAAUUCCCUCAAUAUAUGAAAUUUCAGUCCUGAAACAGCAUGGUUGCCUCCAGUCUUUCCUACAGAAUCAAUUCCCUUGUCUGGGUCUCUCUUAUACACUGGAACAUCAUUUGAUUCACAAAACUUGGCAAUCUCAUCAUCCAAAGCAACAACCAAAUAGUUGGGUAUCCCUACUU
RNAcentral lists this long non-coding RNA (509 nucleotides) under Populus trichocarpa (black cottonwood). RNAcentral's name for it is "long non-coding RNA (PTRI_LNC002351)". Lineage: Eukaryota; Viridiplantae; Streptophyta; Magnoliopsida; Malpighiales; Salicaceae. The record is from RNAcentral.